Molecule: ribosomal RNA, 474 nt
Filed under: Tityus metuendus
Lineage: Eukaryota; Metazoa; Arthropoda; Arachnida; Scorpiones; Buthidae
Description: partial 16S ribosomal RNA
Rfam family: Archaeal large subunit ribosomal RNA
Source: RNAcentral
AUUUUUUAGAAAUAAUUAAAAAUGAGCUCUGCUCAAUGCUCUGGUCAAUAGCCGCAGUAUUCUGACUGUGCAAAGGUAGCAUAAUAAUUAGUCUUAUAAUUGAAGACUGGAAUGAAAGAGUUAACUUAAGAGAAAUUUUUUCUUAUAUUCACAUCUAACCUCACUUUUUAGUAAAAAGGCUAAAAUACUUCUUAAAGACAAGAAGACCCUAUAAAACUUUACACAACCAUAUUUAUAAAAUAAACCUUGUGUUCAGCUGGGGCGGCAAAGAAUACCAACACUCUUAAAAAUUAUUAAUCUUAAUUUAAAUACCUAGAAAUUCUAAAAAUUAAAUAAGCUACUUUAGGGAUAACAGCGUUAUACAUCUACAGAGACCUAAUCGACAGAUGUAAUUGCGACCUCGAUGUUGGAUUACAAAACCUGUUUUCUGCAGAAGGAAAAUAAGCAGGUCUGUUCGACCUUUAAAUUUGUCCA